Molecule: ribosomal RNA, 701 nt
Filed under: uncultured Staphylococcus sp.
Lineage: Bacteria; Bacillati; Bacillota; Bacilli; Caryophanales; Staphylococcaceae
Description: bacterial SSU rRNA
Rfam family: Bacterial small subunit ribosomal RNA
Source: RNAcentral
AGUCGAGCGAACGGACGAGAAGCUUGCUUCUCUGAUGUUAGCGGCGGACGGGUGAGUAACACGUGGAUAACCUACCUAUAAGACUGGGAUAACUUCGGGAAACCGGAGCUAAUACCGGAUAAUAUUUUGAACCGCAUGGUUCAAAAGUGAAAGACGGUCUUGCUGUCACUUAUAGAUGGAUCCGCGCUGCAUUAGCUAGUUGGUAAGGUAACGGCUUACCAAGGCAACGAUGCAUAGCCGACCUGAGAGGGUGAUCGGCCACACUGGAACUGAGACACGGUCCAGACUCCUACGGGAGGCAGCAGUAGGGAAUCUUCCGCAAUGGGCGAAAGCCUGACGGAGCAACGCCGCGUGAGUGAUGAAGGUCUUCGGAUCGUAAAACUCUGUUAUUAGGGAAGAACAUAUGUGUAAGUAACUGUGCACAUCUUGACGGUACCUAAUCAGAAAGCCACGGCUAACUACGUGCCAGCAGCCGCGGUAAUACGUAGGUGGCAAGCGUUAUCCGGAAUUAUUGGGCGUAAAGCGCGCGUAGGCGGUUUUUUAAGUCUGAUGUGAAAGCCCACGGCUCAACCGUGGAGGGUCAUUGGAAACUGGAAAACUUGAGUGCAGAAGAGGAAAGUGGAAUUCCAUGUGUAGCGGUGAAAUGCGCAGAGAUAUGGAGGAACACCAGUGGCGAAGGCGACUUUCUGGUCUGUAACUGA